Long non-coding RNA from Cuculus canorus (common cuckoo), 4995 nucleotides. RefSeq lists it as uncharacterized. NCBI's taxonomy places the organism in Eukaryota, Metazoa, Chordata, Aves, Cuculiformes, Cuculidae. The record is from RefSeq and is a predicted model, not a curated record. The transcript is spliced from 4 exons.
CUGUCCUCCAUCACUGCUGUACUUAUCUCACCCCAUUGUCACCACAAAAGAGUAACCUCUAACAAACUCAGGCUUGUAACUUCCAGCAGGGACGGACCAUUAUUCCCAGUGUGUAAAUGAAGAAGUGAGGCAGCAACCGAGGCCUGAGCGCUGGGCUACUCUCAGCCAGCUUUCACCAGCUACAAUGUCCAUCCUCAGCUCACCACCAGCCAAAGGUUCAUCCUGAGCUCACCACCAGCAAGCCACGGUGGCAACCAGAAGCGCUGCCUCGCUGGGCUCCAGACUAUGGGAAAAUUCACUGCUGGAGCGUCGGAGACGAGCCUCACGUGGAUCCUCGUGGAGGAUCUCAGCUGGCAGCAGCUCAGGGCCUCUAUUGCAGCCUCUGGACCCACCAGCACUGUCUCCAGAGCCCGGCAUUUGCAGGAAACUCGGUAAAGCGAGGGCUCCGUGUUUCUGCAGAGGAGCUUUUCUCCAUGUAGAACCUUCCCAGGUCCAGCAGGCUCCAUCGCAAGGCGCUCAUAAUAGCUGCAGUGGGGAAGGCAGCGCAGACUUUUUUUCACAGCAAGAGAAGAUGGGGAAAGUUGGAAGAGGCCAAUUUUUUUUCCUGCUUUCUCAUGCACUGGAGGGUCCUUAUUCAUUUGAAUAGCAGGUCCUCUCACACAGCAAUCGUUUCUGUCACCAAACAGCAGAGAAGGACUCCUUACGCAGCAACCUCGCGCAGAGCACUGCUGCUCAGACCUUCCCAUCUGCUCUCUGAGCAUGGAAAACCAGAUGCAUGCCAACCUCAGAAGGGAGAGAAUUAGCCCUGAACAAAUAAGUAGAUUGCAGUAACGGGUACAAUGUGGAGGUUUCCUCAAGGAGACAGUAUUUGUAUUCUUCACAGCUGCAUCUUUUUCCUUUUCUCUUCUUUUUUGCCCCCUCUUAUUUAGCCUGAAGUGCUCCCAAACCCUUCAUGCCAUGUGGCUGCUUCUGAUUUGCAUCAAAGCCCCAAUCCAUCGCUGCUCUGUGCUGUGAUAGAUGACGUCGGCUCCCACAAAGCAGAUAUAAAGCGCUCAUUGGAGAGUAUGGCGAGCCUCUUCCCCAGCGGUACGGACAGUGAUGCGAUGCAAAGGUGAGGGUGCUCCAGCUCUGCCGUGUCUGCCGAGCGCUGCGGCUGGAAGAGGAACCCCCAGCGCAGAGCAGGGGCCCCUGAGCCUCCAGCAAGUAGGAAAAAAAUAAAAAGGGAAUGGAAACAAUAAUGAGGAAUGAGGUUAUUGUAGGGGAGAGCAAGGAAAAGAGGUUGUUCGGGGACAGUGAAGAAAAUGCCAGAUAGGAAAGAAAUGGUGCUCUGAGGAAAGACAAUGGAGAAAUAGAGUGAAACAAUUGAAACCCCAUGUCAAAUCCGAGCAGGGAGAUCGCUGAUCGAGCCAUAUUUCAUGAAGGUGCUGCGGUUUUGCUCACUUCCAGCACACGCAGCUCAGGGGACACAGACACCGCUCUUUGCAUACGCAGCUAAGUUGGAACUUCGGUGCUAAUGCGAUGCCAUGAGGGAGCCAGGUUUUACUCCGCAGAUAUGAGGGGACGGGUAGGAGAUAGAAAAUGAGGAGCAGCCAGAAGAAUGAGUGAAGCUGCAUCUCCUGACAGAAGGUGGGAAACCUGUACCACAUGCACAACAGGAGACAAAACCACGCAACAAAGAGAAAAGAAUCACAUUACACUGGGCAUGAAAGUAUUUUUGGGUUGCAUCAGGCCCUUAUUGCUGAUGGUUCACCUGCAGCUCAUCCAGAUAUGGCUUUUAGAGCAAGUUUAAAAAGAGGCCAACAUUUCAACAACUGAAAUCUCAGCCUUUUGUCUGAUGGAAAAAAUCAAUUCCAAAUGUGGAAAUUUCAAUGCAGACUAUAAUUUUGCAGUUCAAAUUUAUUCUCCUUGCUUGAUUUCUUUUUUGUCUUCCCCUCCCCUCUGUUUUUCAGAAGCUGGCUCUAAUGCUUCAUUCCCACUCUCCAAAGACCCUUGGCAGCUGAGUUCCAUGUAGCAGGAAACGAGCCCCUGCCCUGCCUUGCCCAGGGAGCAUACCCCCUCCUUCCAAAUCUCCUGUCUUUGGGAUAAAAAUACAGGAUCCUGAUUCUUCAGCAGCUUACAAAUUUUAUGUUUGUGUAAAGCAACAGUAAAACAUGUCAAUGAUGUUGUUUUAAACAUUUUCAGUUUGGUUUAUAAGAGCUACUGGUGGAUUCAUGUUGGCUUUCUCCUUUUCUUGCUAGAGCAAGGUCAAGCAUCCUCCAGUUCUAACAUGCUUAAGUUAUGGUUGUUUUGAGUAUUUCUGAGGACCCAGCUACUCGGAUUACUUUGAACUACGACUAUAUUCACGUCAGACGUGACUUAGCUCUACUGGCACAGCUACCAGGUCAGCUGAAGAAUUGCCUGUGUAUUUACCCUGGGAGCAAUGACUCCACUCCAGCUCCUCCAAGCCCGAGCCUUCCCACCACUGAAAUAUCCAACGCAUCUCCUGCGUGUUCUGAGGAUGCUGCAACACCAGCGAAUGAGGUGGGAUGGGCCCCCUUUGGCAAGGAGAAGCUGUUUGCAAGGAGCCCAUGAUUUCCUUCAGCUGGAUCACAGGCUCUCAGAAUGACCCGAGUUGGAACAGACCCAUGAGGAUGAUCAAGUCCAGCUCCUAUAUCUGCAUAGGACAACCCCGAAACCAUCUCAGUCCAGAGCAAAAGUGAACUCGGUCAGACCUGAUGGCUGUGCGAGGGACGGUGCGGCCGCAGCUCCGGGUCAGCACUCGUGGUGUUCACACCCUGUGCUACGUGAGCGAAAGAAGCACAAAACAGAUGCUCUGUGCAAAUUGCCCGGGCACUGAACUUCAUCCCUUGCCACUUCCAGCAGCCAUAAACACAAGGCCCGGAUCCACCCCCCAUCCGAUACCACUGCUGUUUGUGCCUCUAUCCUCUUCCUCUCUAGACCGAAAGCACAGCCUGGGUGAUCAUUUCCUCAAAUUCCAGCUUUUCCCAAGCUGGUGGCUCGAGAUGAGCACCGCCUGUCUCCACGGGGGAAACCUGGCCUCACCGCUGUCCUUGCACGGUCCCGACGGCUCUCCAGGAAUUCCAAAUAUCACUAAAACUCCCCUCAGACUUGUUCCACGCUGCUCUGUAAUUGCUGACACACCUAAUCAGGGCCUUCUUUCCAAGCAGUUUGGUCACUACACGCCAAAAAUUUCUCCGAUGCAUCUUUGCCAUCUGGAACAAACGCUCAUGUGCCUUCAGCCGUAGAGUUUCCAGUUUCUGCUGAAAAACAAUUUCCCCUUACUGUCACUCCAAACAAACCCAAAUGUUAGAUCCAGGCAGCAAAGAUUCGGUCAUUUAUUUUCCACGGUGUGGGAACAGAUUUUGUACUUGAAGCAAUUUUGGUUUUAAAGGAGCCCUGGAGCUUGUGGAAUGUGGGCAGUUUUUAGAUCUUUCAUCCUAAGGCUCACUAGGAACUCGCUGGGGCUCUGUAAGCUUUUCCAUCAGACAUCAUGUACUCUAGAAUUACCAGUGAAUGCUUUGCUAGGACAUAAGGUGUUUUUAGAAUGGAAAAUUAAAGGGGGGGGAAAUAUUUAAUGAAAUCCUUUAGGAAAAGGAUUUUUCCGAUUGCUAAAAUGCUGCAUUAUUGCCUACAAAGGAAUUCUUGUAAUAAUCAAAGCUGAGAGGUCUGAUAGCCUUCAGUGUGAAAAAUGCUCACCAUUCACCCCCCCAAGACCUCCUUUAUUCUGGAUAUUGGACACAGUGUGCUCCUGAUGGGGAAUCAGGCUGCCGUCUAUCACACAACACCGCUAGUCAUAACUUCUAAAGUUUAGCUGGCAAUGAAUAAAUGCAGACCCUGAGGAGUCAAAAUAGUCCUUGAAUUGCUGCCUUCAGCAGCAACGUUCAUUUAAUGCAAUCUAUUUCAAAUUUCCAAAUCGCAUCCUGAUGGGUCCCUUUCAGAGGAUCUCCCAAAAUUAAAUACAAAUAUUCCACUUCAGAAAUCAAGUCCCCGGGGCAUUAGAUACGCUUCGCUGCAGAUUAAUUAGAUCCCAUGGAGUUAUAAGAUUCCUGAGAUGGAGUGCUGAAGAUUCCAAGAAUUCUCACAAAGGUGAAAUGAUGGUGAAAACAAACUUGUGUUCCCAGAGCACAAGAAGGCAGAAAGCAGGUCAGGAUUCACCAAGUCCCACCUUGGGCUUAUUUUCUCCCUUUUCUGAAGUGGUCACAAGCCUUAAACCUGAGCUGGUAUUAAGGAAUUUUACUUCAGAUUCAUCAGUGAAAUGAGGAGCUAAGUAUUAGUGACAGAAGUAUGAGGUGACUUAAAACAGAGGAGCAGCUUAUUGUUCCUCUGAACCCUUUUUUGAAGGUUUCAACCUAUUUUACAGGUGUGAAGAACUAUUAAUUCCUCAUCAACCAACCUAAAACACGCAAUGCGCUGAUCCACGUUAUUUCACAGGGCAAAAGCAGAGCUACUGCGCGGCUGCACCAGCAUCAGGCCAGCAGCCACGCGCGUGCUGUAAAACCUGGGGAAGGGGUAGAAAGAAGGGGAAACGUCAGGGCAGAGACUACGACAGAGAUUUUGCCAGUUAUCCUGUGAAGGGGAAAAGGUUUCCCCUUCCUUCUCCACCUGGAAUUGGCAGUCCAUCCAGCUACCAAGUCUUACUUUUUGGGUCACAAAAGACCUUACAGUGAGCUGCUCAGACAAAGAACUUCUCGUACGUGUUCAAAAGCUUAAAUAAACAGGAGUAACAGCUGAGAUCGCACAAUGAAAAGGUAAUGGGCUCCUCAGAAAAGCCACCUUUCCGCACACCAGCACCGAAGGUACAUUUUCAGUGAUACUAAAGCAUAACGGUAGCACCAGCUUGUUUCCUCCCCAAAACAAAUGUAAAAUUCAAAACCAUUAGUGAAGCCUAGACAAUCAAACACAAAGAAAGAGAAGACAGGGAGAACACUUCAGCAAGUACCAAAUACACAGAGAUGCAAGCUGAGGAUGAUUUUAUCUGUUCCUUCGCUGUUUGCU